GACGUAGGGGACGAGCGUUGUCCGGAUUCAUUGGGCGUAAAGCGCGCGUAGGCGGUUUGGUAAGUCGGAUGUGAAAACCAGAGGCUCAACCUCUGGCCUGCAUCCGAUACUGCCCGACUAGAGGUAGGUAGGGGAGAUCGGAAUUCCUGGUGUAGCGGUGAAAUGCGUUGAUCUACAGAGGAACACCAAAAAAGGCGAAGGCAGUCAACUAUUCUGUUCCUGACAUUGAGGCAUGAAAGCGUGGGGAGCAAACCGG
RNAcentral lists this ribosomal RNA (256 nucleotides) under uncultured bacterium. Its description in RNAcentral is "partial 16S ribosomal RNA". It matches the Rfam family "Bacterial small subunit ribosomal RNA", at positions 524 to 776 of the family's 1533-position model. The record is from RNAcentral.